RNAcentral lists this ribosomal RNA (240 nucleotides) under uncultured Diversispora. RNAcentral's name for it is "partial small subunit ribosomal RNA". The stretch from base 48 to 240 matches the Rfam family "Eukaryotic small subunit ribosomal RNA", at positions 693 to 886 of the family's 1831-position model. The record is from RNAcentral. Lineage: Eukaryota; Fungi; Glomeromycota; Glomeromycetes; Diversisporales; Diversisporaceae.
GAAUUUAUUCAUUGGUCAGGCUUAACUGUCUGUACUGGUGUAUUGAAUUCCUACCUUCUGAGGAAUCAUCAUGUCAUUAACUUGGUGUGGUGGGGAAUCAGGACUGUUACUUUGAAAAAAUUAGAGUGUUUAAAGCAGGCUAACGUCUGAAUACAUUAGCAUGGAAUAAUAGAAUAGGACGGUUUGGUUCUAUUUUGUUGGUUUCUAGGAUCACCGUAAUGAUUAAUAGGGAUAGUUGGG